Molecule: unclassified non-coding RNA, 326 nt
Filed under: soil metagenome
Description: partial contains 5.8S ribosomal RNA, internal transcribed spacer 2, and large subunit ribosomal RNA
Rfam family: 5.8S ribosomal RNA (bases 1-120)
Source: RNAcentral
GAUGAAGAACGUAGCGAAAUGCGAUAAGUAAUGUGAAUUGCAGAAUUCAGUGAAUCAUCGAAUCUUUGAACGCACAUUGCGCCCCUUGGUAUUCCGAGGGGCAUGCCUGUUCGAGCGUCAUAUUAACCACUCCCGCUUGCGGGGUCUUGGGCUUCGCCUCCGGGCGGGCCUUAAAAUCAGUGGCGGUGCCGUCGGGCUCUACGCGUAGUAAAUUUUCUCGCGAUAGGGUCCCGGUGGAUGCUUGCCAACAACCCCCAACUUCUUAAGGUUGACCUCGGAUCAGGUAGGGAUACCCACUGAACUUAAGCAUAUCAAUAAGCGGAGGA